This 301-nucleotide ribosomal RNA is filed under the name uncultured bacterium. RNAcentral's name for it is "partial 16S ribosomal RNA". It matches the Rfam family "Bacterial small subunit ribosomal RNA", at positions 509 to 808 of the family's 1533-position model. The record is from RNAcentral.
CAGCAGCCGCGGAAUACGGAGGGGGCUAGCGUUGUUCGGAAUUACUGGGCGUAAAGCGCACGUAGGCUGCUUUGUAAGUCAGAGGUGAAAGCCCGGGGCUCAACCCCGGAUGUGCCUUUGAGACUGCAGGGCUAGAACGUCGGAGAGGUGAGUGGAAUUCCGAGUGUAGAGGUGAAAUUCGUAGAUAUUCGGAAGAACACCAGUGGCGAAGGCGGCUCACUGGACAACUGUUGACGCUGAGGUGCGAAAGCGUGGGGAGCAAACAGGAUUAGAUACCCCCGUAGUCCCUGUCUCUUAUACC